This 5797-nucleotide long non-coding RNA is filed under the name Nicotiana tabacum (common tobacco). RNAcentral's name for it is "long non-coding RNA (NTAB_LNC005069)". The record is from RNAcentral. Lineage: Eukaryota; Viridiplantae; Streptophyta; Magnoliopsida; Solanales; Solanaceae.
UGUGCCAUGCCAUUUUUGACGGAAAAAAGCUGAUGGCCCAUUUAUUGAGGAUUCUCUGAAGCUCUAUAGAGAACUCUCAAAAAUGAAACUAAUGGAAGCACAAAGGAAUCAAUAUCGAUUUGGAAGAUGAUAACGAUCGUCAUGCUCUGAAACGAAAGUAUUCAACGCCAAAUAAUAAAUCUUUCAGGGUAAUUUCUCCCUUAAAUGUGAAAUAUUGGAACUUACCGUGAAAAUUAAGGAAUUGAAGUUCGUUCAUGGGGAUAAUCGGUGUUUGUGUGUAUAAUGUUUAUUGCCUAUCAGCGAAAACCUCUUCAAUGCAUAUAUUUGCGGCUUUGAAUUGUUUGAUUAAUUUGUAGCAUUUACGUUGUUUGUUUCUCAGUUUUCAGGCUAAUCGCGUAGGCAAGUGCAACCUGAAUUUAUUUUACAGCUGUAUGCUGAUGUCCAGCGAUUAUGUAGUUAUUUUACCUCUAAUAUCUGAUAUUUGUCUCCUUAUUUGUGUAGUUAGUAUGUAGGAUCAUAGAGUAGACUGUCAAUCUUCUUAAGUGCUCCCUAAUCUCUUUAGAAAGGGGCGUGUUGCAUCAAAACGAAACUACUGUAUGUGCGACCUUUUCUUUCUUUGAUAACCGUAGUGUCCUGGCCAGCUUGCGCGCACCUCGGCUAAUUCUACGGGAUACCUGCUACCUCUCACCAGCAACAGGUAUUAGGUAACUCUGUUCACCAAACUUGAACAAACGGUAAGAAAUCACCUAUGUUUUUUUAUCUCCGCUGGAAUUUGAACCUCAUGGCUCUCAACCCACUUCAUUAACCACUAGGUCAUACCAUAGGAUGCGUAUGUGCGACUUGGAGAUGAUUGAAACAAGAUUCACGUGUUUGGGUCAAAUAUUUGUUUGCAAAUAUACGGUGGUGCUACCAAAAGGAAAUACAUAUAUUAUUAGCAUGAUAUGUCCAUGUAAAUACACGCUAUACUCUCACAGAUAUUAAGAGGUAGCACCAUCAUGCUUUAGGCUACCAGUUCCUUAUUAUAUUCUCAUUAAAUAUUUUGUACGUUCUGACUUAUAAGUGCCUGAUAUUCCAAGCAUUCUCUACUAUAGGUGUUUUGAUAAAACAUAUGACUCAGAUCUGAAACGUUGCUUUCCGAAUCUUAGACUGUUGGAGGUUUCACUAUAUGUCCUGUUGUGUACUGAAAUCUAGUCGAUAUUGGACUGACUUCAAAAGCACUAUAAAAGCAUAGCUGUGCACCUUGGUAGACAAACGAUUACAUUCUGAGAAAUACAAACUAGGUCAAGUAUCUUCUGGUUUCUUCAGUUCUAUCCCUUUUUCUCCUGGAGCUGGUAUGUUUCUUUCCAGAUUUGUUUUUAUUGGGAACGUUUUGUUAUUGAAACGUCCCUCCUCUCCUCUUUGUUGAUAAAAAUUUUGUGUGAUCUGGAUAGAGGACUGCUAUGUGGUUUUGGCAGUUUUCUUGGAAAUAUAUAUUGCUAGAUGAUUCUAUAGAUACCAAGAGUAAUUAAGUCAUAUAUUGUGCAUUUGUGCAAUAAAACCAGGUAAAUAGUUGGAAAUCAUAAAGUAGCUAAACAUAUAGUGGAUUAGUAGUGUUUUUUCAUCAGCAAUCAUUGUAUUCUUUGGUACAUCAGAGGGAUGUUCAACUAUUACUGAGUUGGUCUUACAGUUCUGUUCUUGAGAAAGAAUGGGCGUCAUCUGUAUUGUCUUGAAUGAUGCAUAACAUUUGGUCGUGUAAUUUUACAUCUUUUGACAUUCCAUGUGCAUUCCCUCCCUCCCUCUCUCUGUUUGCUUUUCCUGCUUUCAUUUCUUUGGAAUUCAUGUACAAACUUCUGCCUAGGGCAGCGUUUUGUUUAUGCCUCCGUGUUUUGUUUUGCAAUUUAAUAUGGCAUACCACAUUUAGAGUCUGCACAAGCGAACGAGUCACGAUGGAAUUAGCAGACAGAAUGAUUGGGCUGCUUUUGACAGUGACUAGUUUGUCUAUUUUCACAUAUUAUACCUUCUGGGUCAUCAUUCUGGUCAGUUCUUCUCUCUUGCCCUGAUGUAGUGACUUUUUGUGACCUACGUUAAUAUAUGGGGUUGAUAAAUGCUAUUUUUGUCUUUCAGCCACUGGUUGAUACUGAUCAUUUUGUGCAUAAAUAUUUUCUACCUCAAGAGUAUGCGAUUCUUAUUCCCGUAUUUGCUGGAAUGGCACUCAUCUGCUUGCUGAGCAUGUUUAUCGGAUAUGUGAUGCUCAAGUCCAAAAAGAAGGCGGCAUGAUACAGCUAUGCUAAGCCUGCUGCUAGCUGUUUGAAUUAUAUGAUAGUUCAUAAUUUUGCUCAACUCUUUCCCGCUUGAACAGCUCGUGUCACAUAAAUUUUUCUCUAUUCAUGUGUUUACUAUGAUCUGAAAAUCCUAGAUGCCUUUCAGCCUUCAAGUAGUGAAAACAUAUACACAACAAGCUCUAUUUUGUGUUUGUAGUUUAUUUAGGAACGUCUGUUGUCUUUAGAUAGAAAAGGGAAAAGGCCCCUGUCAUUAGCAUGUAUCUUGAUAAUUAUUAGAGGUCGAUGUUGUUGGAUUUUUAUCUAAUUAGAUAAGAGGUGUGAAUGGGAAAUGGAGGGAAAGAAAAGUUUGAAGUUGUUUCCUUUACUAAUGUACUUUGUCCCUCAUCGGAAAAAGGAAAGAAAAUCUUUGUGCUUAUAUAGAGAAGCACAUCUUCUAACUCUUAAAGAGUUAAGAAGAAGUGGUGCCUCGCGCCGUCGCUUGCUCGGCUCGGCUUCGGUCCAUUGAUUUGAUUGAUAAUUUUUUGGACCAAAUUUAUUUACCGUUUUCCGUUAUAUAAUUUCUUUUCUAAUAUUUUUUCGCGGAAUUUUAAUUUAAAAUUUGCGGUUCCCAACGGUCGUUUUGAGUUUAAAAUUCGCGACCAGACUUCUGCCGAAAUGGUACCUCAUAUGAACAGGUAGUUUCGCACCUAUUUAACCCAGACUGUUUGGCUAUAAAUUCAGAGGUUUUGCCUUAUUUUUUAGCACCGAAAAUCUGCAAACUCUCCCCUCAUCUUCCACAUUAUUAUAGAAAUUGGAUUUUCUUAUUAAAUCUUCUUUUCUUAGAUUAAGAUAUCAUCAUACCGGUAAGUUUAAGAUGCAAUGCAUUUAUUUUCUGAUUCCUUCUUUCCGCUCUUUGCUUAGCUACACCGGCUUACAGAUGUCCAUGUCCUUCAUGGAUCUAGGAGUUCAUACUUUUCAAAGCAAAAACGUAAGCAUCGGUGUGGUUUAUUGCCGUUUGUUGAGUUCGACGAGGUUCUGUAAUUUCCAUUGCCGGUAUUACAAAAUAGUUGUUUCGUUCUAUCCUGGGAGGAAUUAAUCCAACAACCUUGGACAUCAAUGAGAUGAUUAAAUUCCUUAAGGAAACACAGUUUUCUGUUGGGCUCGGAACAUUAUUCAUUUGAUUCUAUUUCUGUCUUUUGUUUUUGGUUUCGUUUUAUUUUACCGAAAUUAUAUUUUCGAAUACAGAUACUAACAUAUGCUUCCUCUUUCGUUGUGUAGUGGGGUAUCUUUUUCUACGUUAUUCAUGAUUCUGCAAUAAAGUUUACGAACAGAAUGAGAGUUGUUGAACAAUGAUAUUUCAAGCAGUGCUACCAAUAGUUUGAAACCUGCAAAUAGGUUCCCGAUCGCUAUACAAUAUUCAAGGUUAUCAGUAAAUGUUAAUUAUGGGAGAAUGGAGAUCACGUACAAUUGCCUUUUAAGUUACUUAGUUGUGCAAAUAUCAUUUACAGUUGGUGCAUAUAAUUAAAACUCAAUUGUUGUUGAAUGCAGGCCAAUACUCGUAAUCCAUAAAUUGCAACUUUGUAUCUCUCACGUCCAAAAGCAAUUGAUAGAUCUGAUUUCUUUGCAAAAAGAGAGAUUUUCACUCUCUCUGUUCAUUUUAUGUACACAGUCCUAUGAUGAAACUACUUCUCAUCUAUUCCUAGAUGACUACCAAGUUUCAGUUAUUCUUCACUGCAAAUUGUAAACUGUUAAGUAAUCUUAAGGCAUCACAUUCCAAAAGGACUGCCCUGCUCUAUCACACAGACGAGAAAAAGUACCAUUCUCCAAAGACUCCAAUGGAGGCAACUUAUGACUUGUGUAAAACACAAACCCAUCUUCUGUGUUUGAUUGUUCUUUAUUCUUCAUGUUUGGCUCGUCCUUUUCACUAGCGGUAGUGGUAGAAUUCUUCUCCACAAGCUCACGAUACAUGGAGGAGCGAAGCAGAAGGCUGAGAGCUGUAGGGGAGGACGACUUGUUGCACGGACUUAAGGGCAUUUUUCUUUCAAUAGGUUCUUGGCUCUGAGGAAUAGGGGACAGAGUUUCUCUAGUUGUGGUAAAAUAAUUGGAGCUGAAAGGGAAUUUAGGAUCAUUUAUCGGGUUAAUCAUAUCGUUAGUGUUCAUUUGUAUAGCCUGAUUUUCUGAUCUUAUGUCUUGGAAUGACAUCUGAGAAUUGGCACCUGGUUUUAGCCAUCUAAUAUAGGUGCUUAAGUCGAAGUUAGUCACAGCAUUAAUCCCUCUAUAUUCAAUUGCAGCAAUGUCAUAAGCUCGAGCUGCUUCCUCUUGAGUACCUACAGAAAAACAAACACAAGAUUCGAGUUGGCAGCCUGUUUUAACAGUCUUGAUUUGAUCAGUGCUCAAAAUUAUGGGGUGAAAGUACUUACUGUAAGUACCUAAGUAGAGGUAUUUGUUACCGAAAACUCUACCUAUUCUUGCUUCCCAUCUGCCAUUGUGAUGAUGCCUGAAAGUUAUAUCAGUUCAAUAUCUUUUGUUACCAAUGAUGAACAACAUAUGGUAAAGUUUUAUAACAAUGGCUUGACUAUCAAGGGGAAAUGAAUUUAUUCACCUUGCUACUCCUCUGUAUUUAGAUACACCCCGGGCGAAACCACUGCUUCUCCUGCAUUAGAACGGCAAAAACUCCGGUAAGUUUUGUGGUUUUGAUGAAAAGAUUGUCUUUAUGUAAUUGAAAAUCAAGUUGAACACAUACCUUCUUAAAGAGGCUAAGUACUCCUCCUUAGUCACAGUUUGCAUUAUUUCAAUUUCUUUCUCAUAAUCAGAUAUCUGUAGGAAAGAGUUUAAGACAGAAUUUUCAAUCAAACAAAAAGAAUUAAAAGCAAAAGGACUAUGAAAAUAAAGUAUACACAAGUUUUGAGUCAGCUGAGGUAAUCAUACCGGAAAAUUAGUGAAAGUUGAUGUACCCCAGUACUUGAUUGCAGCCAAAUCAUAUGCUCUUGCUGCAGAUUCUUCUUCAUCAUAUGCUCCUGUUCAAUUUAAAACACAACAUACAAGUAAAUUUUCUCUAACCCAAACUUCAAUUCUUGAACCAAAUAUUGGUCUAUAGAACCAAGUGCAGUACUCACCAAGAUAGACCUGUUUUCCUUUCUUUUUCUGAGUUACAUUCCAAGAACUCUUGUCCCACAAAUGAGCCUCAUAACGCCCCGUCCAUCGAUGCCUAAAAUCCAAGGUAACCAAGAGUCAGUUUCUUAAAUCUAUAUAACUCAAAAGGGGGAAAAAGGACCAGAAAAUGUCCUUAACAUUUUUAAUUUAGUAUUACUUGCUAACUCCUCUGAAUCUUGAACUUCUCUUCACAGCAGGUGUAUGAGCAAUAUUUUGAUCAACUUUAGAUGAGUCCAUCUUCUGCUUUUCACCUUGUUGGCCAAUGUUCUCAUUCAGUUCAAUUGCAGGGGGAGACCUUCUACGUCUUUUUACACGUUUCGUCGUCUCUGGAAUGUCAUAAUCCACCAUGGAUAUGCUUCUUUUUCCAGGGCUCGCCAUCUCAGAUUUAACACUAGUAUUCAAAU